Molecule: unclassified non-coding RNA, 261 nt
Filed under: Hevea brasiliensis (rubber tree)
Lineage: Eukaryota; Viridiplantae; Streptophyta; Magnoliopsida; Malpighiales; Euphorbiaceae
Source: RNAcentral
AAAACAUACAUAAAAGAGUCUGUCAGCAUCAUGCAGAUCUAGCUCUAGUGAUACAUCAUUAGGGAGCUUUUAUUUUAGGAUACAUGCAAAAAGCAAACUCAUCCAGGUUACGGAAAAUCAUUUUGAUAUUUUUCUUGGCAGCUAAUCAUGUCGACUCCUAAUAGUUGAGAGAUUUGAUUCAAAAUGGUAAUAUUGCUAACAAAAAUUUGCCUUCCUGGUUUCAAUUGGAAGUUUGGCUAACUAAUACCUAGCAUAUUAAUG